UUACAUCUUACAUCCAUGUUAAUAUAUGCAAAGCCAAUUUGUCAAUUUAAACUAGUUUGUAGCUAAAUGCAUGCUAAUUUAUGUUGGUAAAGAAAAACAGAAAAAAAGGCUUGCAGCUCAAAACACGUCAACUAAUUAUGAAAUUCUCUGUGAUGCUAAACUUUUAAUUGAAGAACAUAAAGUGAGGGAUUAUGGAUCAGAACACUUCGUCG
RNAcentral lists this unclassified non-coding RNA (212 nucleotides) under Hevea brasiliensis (rubber tree). The record is from RNAcentral. Lineage: Eukaryota; Viridiplantae; Streptophyta; Magnoliopsida; Malpighiales; Euphorbiaceae.